Molecule: ribosomal RNA, 497 nt
Filed under: uncultured bacterium
Lineage: Bacteria
Description: partial 16S ribosomal RNA
Rfam family: Bacterial small subunit ribosomal RNA
Source: RNAcentral
GAUGAACGCUGGCGGCGUGCCUAAUACAUGCAAGUCGAGCGAACGGACGAGAAGCUUGCUUUUCUGAUGUUAGCGGCGGACGGGUGAGUAACACGUGGAUAACCUACCUAUAAGACUGGGAUAACUUCGGGAAACCGGAGCUAAUACCGGAUAAUAUUUUGAACCGCAUGGUUCAAAAGUGAAAGACGGUCUUGCUGUCACUUAUAGAUGGAUCCGCGCUGCAUUAGCUAGUUGGUAAGGUAACGGCUUACCAAGGCAACGAUGCAUAGCCGACCUGAGAGGGGGAUCGGCCCCCCUGGAACUUGGGCACGGUCCAGACUCCUACGGGGAGCCGCAAGAGGGAAUCUUCCGCAAUGGGCCAAAGCCUUACGGGGCAACGCCGCGUGAGUGAUGAAGGGCUUCGGAUCGUAAAACUCUUUUAUUAGGGAAGAACAUAUGUGUAAGUAACUGUUCACAUCUUGGCGGUACCUAAUCAAGAAGCCCCGGCUAACUACGUG